CCCUGAGUGCCACCAAGAAAGUGGCACCAACAUUUGCACCAUCUUCCUCAACCUCAUCUUGGAUCUCCUCAGGAUCUAGGUGAUUGACAUCAAUUUCAAGGAAGAGCCAGACCAUGUGCAGUUUGCAGAAAUUGAAGCCCAUGAUGAAAGUUGAGGUCGAGCCUUUUGCGAUCUCCACCUCGAAUACCUUUGAGGCCUUGAACUCCUCCAUGACCUGGAGCUUGGCCGCGAUAAUAGCCAAUGAUCUCUUCUUGAUUGCCCUCUCCUUGCUUGUUGCGAGCUCCUCAUCAACCGCCUUUUGAGUCACCAUUGCCGCCAUCCAAGCCACCACAGUUGCCGCCAACUCCCUCUCCAAUUUAACAACCUUCUCCUGCUGGAUGUCAGCCACAACCCUCUUGUAGGCGAUCUUUCACUUGAGGACCCCCAUCUCAUUGCAGAUGUACUGGAGCUUGGAUAAGGCCUGAGAAUCUCUCUCCUCGAUGGCCUAGGCUCGACUCUCGAUAGAUUGAGCCCCAUCCUCCAACUCUCUUUUCAAGUCGCAAAAGCUCAAAAUUUCUUUGUUGAGUCUGACGAAAUUAUGGAUAAGCUACAAAAUAGAAAAAGAAUAAAAUAUCAAGUAAUGGAG
This 625-nucleotide long non-coding RNA is filed under the name Elaeis guineensis (African oil palm). Its description in RNAcentral is "long non-coding RNA (EGUI_LNC020677)". Lineage: Eukaryota; Viridiplantae; Streptophyta; Magnoliopsida; Arecales; Arecaceae. The record is from RNAcentral.